GGAAGCAAUUCCUGUAAAGCGGCGCACGGGUGAGUAACACGUAGGUAAUCUACCUCGAAGUGGUGGAUAACCUCCGAAAGGAGGGCUAAUACAGCAUGAGACCACGGUUUCGAAAGAGAUUGAGGUCAAAGCGGGCCACUAUACAUAAGCUCGCGCUUCGAGAUGAGCCUGCGGCCCAUCAUGGUAGUGGUAGGGUAAUGGCCUACCAAGCCGAAGACGGGUAGCUGGUCUGAGAGGAUGAUCAGCCACACUGGAACUGAGACACGGUCCAGACUCCUACGGGAGGCAGCAGUGGGGAAUCUUGCGCAAUGGGCGAAAGCCUGACGCAGCGACGCCGCGUGAGUGAUGAAGGCCUUCGGGUUGUAAAGCUCUGUGGAGGGGGACGAAUAAGGGUUGGCUAACAUCCAGCUCGAUGACGGUACCCCUUUAGCAAGCACCGGCUAACUCUGUG
Molecule: ribosomal RNA, 451 nt
Filed under: uncultured bacterium
Lineage: Bacteria
Description: bacterial SSU rRNA
Rfam family: Bacterial small subunit ribosomal RNA
Source: RNAcentral